RNAcentral lists this small RNA (506 nucleotides) under Arabidopsis thaliana (thale cress). Its description in RNAcentral is "ATSL151230". The record is from RNAcentral. Lineage: Eukaryota; Viridiplantae; Streptophyta; Magnoliopsida; Brassicales; Brassicaceae.
UAUUUUAACAUCAAACGAACUUUGAUUAAUUUGAAGAGUGAUCCUUGUGGAAGAUUUGUACAAAAAAACUAGGAAGAAAUAAAUGGUGUAUAAAAUUCACAUUGUUUGGUAUUAAGUUCUUUGUCAAUCAAUCAGCCGCUUCGUUGUUGUUCCUUGAAACCCAUGUGAAGGUAGAAUUUGUGAACUUUUCUGCCAGGUUAUAGACUUUAAAAUUCUUCAUUUCUCUAUUGAUAAUAUGUGGUAUUUGCUUGUUAUCUCCUUCAAAAGUGACAUUCCAAAUCCUCGUAUCCAAGUGUGUUGCAGUUCCGCCUCAAUGACGAUAUUACAGGCUUUGCCUCUACUUUGUGUUGCUUCAACAAAUAAUCCUCUAUCAUCUCGUAUAAUCUAGCCAGCUUUUUCAUUUUUCCCAGUCCGUAGGAGACUACAAUCAUAAUUACAUUUUAAAAAACUACUUGAUGUGGUUUACGCCAUUGUUGGUAUUCUUGUGUAUAUAAAAUGAUUUUUUU